AUUGAACGCUGGCGGCAGGCCUAACACAUGCAAGUCGAGCGGAAGAAGGGAGCUUGCUCCUGGAUUCAGCGGCGGACGGGUGAGUAAUGCCUAGGAAUCUCCCUGGUAGUGGGGGAUAACGUCCGGAAACGGGCGCUAAUACCGCAUACGUCCUGAGGGAGAAAGUGGGGGAUCUUCGGACCUCACGCUCUCAGAUGAGCCGAGGUCGGAUUAGCUAGUUGGUGGGGUAAAGGCCUACCAAGGCGACGAUCCGUAACUGGUCUGAGAGGAUGAUCAGUCACACUGGAACUGAGACACGGUCCAGACUCCUACGGGAGGCAGCAGUGGGGAAUAUUGGACAAUGGGCGCAAGCCUGAUCCAGCCAUGCCGCGUGUGUGAAGAAGGUCUUCGGAUUGUAAAGCACUUUUGUUUGGGAAGAAGGGCAGUAAGUUAAUACCUUGCUGUUUUGACGGUACCAACAGAAUAAGCACCGGCUAACUUCGUG
RNAcentral lists this ribosomal RNA (484 nucleotides) under uncultured bacterium. RNAcentral describes it as "partial 16S ribosomal RNA". It matches the Rfam family "Bacterial small subunit ribosomal RNA", at positions 30 to 507 of the family's 1533-position model. The record is from RNAcentral.